AGACCGAUAGCAAACAAGUACCGUGAGGGAAGAUUGAAAAGAACUUUGAAGAGAGAGUUCAAUAGUACGUGAAACUGUGUGGUGGUAAACGGAGGGGUUCUCGAAGUCUCUGUGGGGAACUCAACCUUGGUGCCGAGCAGUCAGGGUGUAUCCGAUCAGCAAUGACGGUGCGCUCUGUCUGGCCUGGCUCUCGGGUGCAUUUCCCCCGCAGUUUACGGCAGGAACCGUUUGGCUCGGACCGAAGGCCUCGUGUGAAGUUGUCGCUUCUGGUGGCAGCCUCGGGUGUCCUGGCUCUGAGCCCGACGGGUACGUGAGAGGACUCGUAUAGCGAGCAACGCUCUGUUGCGGUUCUCAUCUCUCUGCCGAGUAGGUCGGUGGCCCCUCCGACCCGUCUUGAAACACGGAC
This 406-nucleotide ribosomal RNA is filed under the name Chiridius poppei. RNAcentral describes it as "eukaryotic LSU rRNA". It matches the Rfam family "Eukaryotic large subunit ribosomal RNA", at positions 331 to 666 of the family's 3401-position model. RNAcentral also lists the same sequence under 1 other name. The record is from RNAcentral. Lineage: Eukaryota; Metazoa; Arthropoda; Copepoda; Calanoida; Aetideidae.